CCACUGCAGAGGGUUAGAGGGGGGUGAGAAGAGACAUUUAUGUUUUAAGGAAUCUUCAGGUAGGUAUGGAGGGAAAAACACUCUGGAAGUCUGCAAUCUAUCAUUAAUCUGCUUUAGUUCAUGGCUUUCCCGACCACCUCCUAUGUACUGGAACCAAAGACUUCUAGCUUGCCGGCAGAAAGUUCGCCUGGUUGCCGCCUAAGGCAGGAGCUCAGCCAAUCACUGCUGAUGUAUCCAAUGAUGGGCUUAGCAAGGGUUGAAGACCCCAGAUUCCCACCUAAGACCGGCACGGUUCCCUUGGGAUUAUGGCCUUGUAAAAAUAAAAGAGGGACCUGUGGGGGGCCUUCUGGCACCUUGCUGCCCCCCAGAAUUCUUGGCAUUUGGUUUAAUGACAAUAGUGCAUUCCUGGCUGACCUGGGGCUUUCGUGUUAUAAGGUCAUCUUCCUGAAACACUUUAAACCCUCCUUCCCCCUCGGGGCUUCUGAGUAACACUUCUGAGGAACUUUCCAAACAAUCUUAUUAACACAACUUGUGACUUUGUUGGGUCUCCUGUGAUACACCGUCCUGUGAUACACCGUUAUUAGCACAUCAUGUGACCCCUCUGGUGAGUCAUCCUGUGAUUCCUAGUCACUUAGUAACCCUGCCAAAGGCAAGUACAUUCCUUUCGCCAAGCCUAUAUAAAGGAUGUGGAAAAAAUAAUAAACAGAGACCUUGAUCAGAAAAAACAAAAAAAGAAAGUUCAUCUGGUGGCCUGAAGCCCCAGGUUCUACCUUCAACACUUCAUAAAACAGUCUGCAUCCAAAUAGAACAGGAUGAAACUUAAGUGGCAGAGAAGGAUGGAUGCUGAAAUGGGAACUGGUUAUUAACUUACCAAAAUGCAGCCGGGCUCUUCUCCAGCCUGAAAGGCAAAGAGGGUAUCUGUUAAAGCUGAGAAGAAAUGGUGGCCUCCCCGAACGCAGAGCCAAACCCGGGAGAGAGCAACCCACCUGCAUUGGCAGCAGCUCUUUUCAACUCUGAGGAAGAAGAAACAGAGGGGGUACUUCUGGUUUCUCUAGAGGGCCCACCUGGCCGGUGCGCUCCCCUGCCUAGCAUUAUCCCUGCCAGAGAAUUGAAGUUAUGCAUCUGAGAGGCUCUACCAAGCUAAGGGCUAGACACAGAUGAGCCAAAUGCCAAGAAGGAUGAGGAGUCCCAAGAUGGGCAAGACCACAGAGAGAGCCACCUCUGGAGAGGACAGACUUCCCGGAGCUGGGGCUGAAACGGAG
Meriones unguiculatus (Mongolian gerbil) is the source of this 1262-nucleotide long non-coding RNA. RefSeq lists it as uncharacterized. The record is from RefSeq and is a predicted model, not a curated record. NCBI's taxonomy places the organism in Eukaryota, Metazoa, Chordata, Mammalia, Rodentia, Muridae. The transcript has 4 exons.